Long non-coding RNA from Gadus macrocephalus (Pacific cod), 2053 nucleotides. RefSeq lists it as uncharacterized. The record is from RefSeq and is a predicted model, not a curated record. NCBI's taxonomy places the organism in Eukaryota, Metazoa, Chordata, Actinopteri, Gadiformes, Gadidae. The transcript has 2 exons.
AAUCCAUCUGUGCCGCCCAGUUGAUCACAGAGGACGAGGGCUUGGGUCGGCUGGCCCACACGGUGCAGGUCUUGGUGGUCCUCGCACGGACUGCUGCCAGCCACCGCCUCGCUAGCAGACCGGAGCUGCUAGGGGCGGACAGGCUAAGCACAGCUCCUUCCUUCUCUUAGCUCCAUGUCGUCCACUGAUUUUGCUGUCAUCCAAAGGUCCAAAAUGGUACCCAAAAAAAUCAAUGAAACACUUAGUUUGUAAUCAUUGUAAAAACAGGCGUUUAGUUCGAUUUUUUUUGGUUUUCAAGCAGGCCUAUAUAAAUUAUGCACAUUGCAAGUGUAAGUCGAACAACUUGUUUUAAAGUUGAUUCAUAUUUAUUUUUUUAUAGGAUUUUUAAUUUUAAACAUUUUUUUACUCGUCAAACAUCUAAUUAUCAGGCAAUUGUUCAUACGGCGUUAUCAUUAUCAUUAUCGGCAUUAUCCCGACCAACAAUAACAGCAUAUGACUGCACUGAAUCCAUAAAAAAAAGCAUUUAUUUUCAAUCUUUGUCAGUUCCAUUCCCUGUCGUCGUCAUUCAGUAAAUUCAAAUAAAAUGCUAUACAUUUUGAUCGACUAUAUGGGCAGUGACUUGAGUGUUGUUGGUUAUUCCUGUGCCCAUCAGACUCCAUCCCACCUCUCAUAUUCAGUCGACGAAGAGAACACAGUCUAUCUCUUGUUUAACAGUUCUACCGAUAACUAUAACCCUAACCCUCAACCAAUCAGAACCAAUCAGAACCCAUUAUGAAGGGCUUAUAAGCCCUAUGGUUCUUUUUAGCCCUGUUAAGCUCAGGCGCAACUUUGAAAAUGCUUUGUAUUUUUUGUUUUUUAGCUAAAAAGUCGAACGUUUUUUGUAAAUCUAACAACCUUGUGUGAUGUUACAUCAAAUCAUGAUGUCAAAAGGGUGCAGCAGAUAGAGCUGUUUAUAGCGACCCCUGGAGUCCUGCCACGAUUGGUCUUCACUGGAGCUUGAUGUAGAGUUAGAAGUAGAGUAGAGUUAGAAGCCGAACAAUGUCAUGUGAGUUUUAAGUCAACUACCAUAACCUCCGGCCACUUAGUAGUGUCUCGACGCUGCAGCGGUGAGUGCUCUUGGAUGGCAGCGCUCGAGACCUCGAUCAUUCGGCUUGAGCGUUGUCAUGUGGUCUGAGUGACAAACAUCAUUCAGACCAUGAUUGAAUGAGUGACAGAGUGAAGUCUGAAGAUUAAUGUCAUAUGUAACCUAUCAAUGACAUCAAAUCAUGUAAAAGCCCUACUUUGGGUGGUCUCCACUACAAAGUGGAGACCACUACGUUAUUCAUACAGUGAAGUAUAAGUUAUUCAUACAGUCAAGUAUAACUUUCAACUAUACCCAGGCCUGUGACUCCGUGGUGCAGCGGAGAGAGCACACAACUCUAGGCCCUGGAGUUCAAGUCCUGUCAGUAUGUCUCCAUUGCAAAAAUUAUAAGGGAAGGGGGGGGGACUUUACUUUCAUCACUAUGAAAUAGUGUGUACAAUAAUGUGUCCAACUAAAAAUUAGCAAGUGGCCUUUGGUUAAUAACGACUCGGUGGGUUCACUGAAUGUUCUCUGUGUUCAGCAGAGGAUCAAUUUACACUUAAAGUUCGGGGGUUCACUGAAUAAAUAGCACAAUAGAGGCUUCGUCUACAUCUCAUCUUCAUAAUUCUUUUUUUUUUUUUUUCUGAGUAAGUUUGAAUUCUGAUCAUAGAAAAUUGAGAGAAAGGACUAGUGUUUGAAACGUAAACCAGGAAACAAGGAAAAUCCUUGCGAAAGAAAGCGAGUCCUGAAACACAAAUGUGGUCAGUCUCUUAUUUAUUUUUUCACAAUUUAGCAAACUUUGUAUGAAAAUAAAGCGUUCAAUUCUCCAACACACGCCAUAACCCUUUGGUGUAUAAGCUACAUAUAGUGUUUGUUAAACACACGUUGGAUUAAUUUCAUGAUUUCACUUUGUUCAGUGUACAAUGAUUUCAACAACAACUUCUUUCCUGAAUUUUCUGUAUUGUUAUUAAAAAUAAAUCCUUUUUCCUUGAA